Molecule: long non-coding RNA, 215 nt
Filed under: Panax ginseng (ginseng)
Lineage: Eukaryota; Viridiplantae; Streptophyta; Magnoliopsida; Apiales; Araliaceae
Description: long non-coding RNA (PGIN_LNC006610)
Source: RNAcentral
UUUUGAUGAUGUGUUGUAUCCAACUUGUAGCUUGCUAGAUAGACUAUAGAUUCUGGCCUUUAGAUACCUUAAAUCAUCAACUAAUCAAAUGUAGUGGACAGUCAAACUUGACCAUCAGAUCAUGACUUACAUUUCUGAGGAUUUCCAGAAACAUUAAGAACACAACUUUCUGGCAUCCUUUGACCGAGAUAUAUUUGGAACAUGUGAUGUUGUUG